GGAGAUGGGAUCAGCCUGCGUGCCACGCGCACUGUGAGCAGCAGGCAGGGCCAAACCACCUUUUCUGCCCGCACAUGGUGCGCAUGUGUGUUCUCCUCUCUCCCCACCCCCGCCAUGGAGGCGGUGUGGCAUGUGUGGCGUGGCAUGGCAUCCACAGUGAGGACAAGAGAAGAGCUCCGUUCCCUCAGGACCCCACUGGGUGCCGCUGGCAGCUUCCAGAUGACCUGGGCCCCUGUCCUGGGGAAGAAACAGCUCCCGUCCCUGGUGCUGACUGCUGAGGAGGGAGCUUCCUUCUGUGCGGGCUUCUCCACAGCGCGACUGCUCCAGCAUUUUUCCUUCAAGGUUCAUCCAUGUUGUUCCAAAUGAGAAGGACAUGAUUUGCAUGUGGCCGAGGAGUAUUGUGUUGUGCGGAUAUCCCACAGUUUCCUCAUCCCUUCACCUGUGGAUGGUCAGGUUCAACCAUGUGGCUCCCGAUGACAUGAUUUCAGUAUCUGUGUCUGGCUGAAGAGUGUUCCAUUGUGAAUGGACACUAUGGUUUCUGUAUCCCAUCAUCUGUGGAUGGAUAGGGCACCCUCAUCCAGCAUCGGACGGAGCACCUGCUGCACAGCAACAUGACCAGCGGUGACAUCCUUCUGUGCUACAUCACGGAAAUCUUUGGGGCCUUACUUCAGGAGGAGAGCCUGCUGCUAAGGCAGAUGACUUCUCGUGUUGCAAAGCGGCAGAGAUGCGCUUUUGAUGAUGGCCAGCCAGUUCCCCUCAGUGUGGAUGAUCAAGGGCUGAGCGUAUCAGGGCUCAUGGCGACUGCUGCAGCAUCAACCCGAAGACCGGGGGCGUCAUCAUGCUCGGCUGGAGUGACGGCACGCUCAACCCCGCGGUUCGGCAGCCUGGAAACCUGUAACAUAGUGGACUCCUUUGAGGAGGUGGAGGACAGCCUGUAUGUCCCCCAGUAUAACAAGUACGGGGAAGAGAGGGUGAUCGUCUUCCUGAAGACAGCCUCUGGGCACGCCUUCCAGCCUGACUUGGUGAAGAGGAUCUGUGACGCCAUCCGCGUGGGCUUGUCUGUGCGGCAUGUGCCCAGCCUCAUCCUGGAAACCAAGGGCAUCGCGCAGGUGGAAGGUGGCGUUAUUCGUGCCCACGAGCUGCACAUGGACCCCUGCAUGAAGCGUAGUGGGGCACAGAGCAGGCGAGCCAUUUCCAUCUCACAGCGGGAGGGCCGGCGACACCACACGAAGUGACAUGCAGGCCCUCCUCGGAAGCCGGCGCUUAGAUCCCUAAUUAGUUCACACGUCGACUGAAUUUUUCAGUACACGCUCAGUGGCAAUAAAGUGGAAGUUGCCGUCAAACAGAUCAUCGCUCGAAAAGCCAUGGAGCAACGAGGUGCUUUCUCGAACCCCGAGGCCCUGCAUCUGUACUGGGACAUCCCUGAGCUGAAUGGCUUCUGAGUCGGACUGGCUGGCACAGGGAGGAUGGAAACCUUGAAUGGCCUGGCGCAGGAGUCCCUGGCUUGCAGUGUUUCUCUCGCCCUUGAUGGGAGCUUCAGGUUCUUGCCAAAGUAUGUAUCACAUAAUUGCUUUCAUGUUCAGACACGGCAAGAGUGGGUUGUAAAUGACUGCGACGCCGAUGUCACAAUUCUGUUAGGCCUGGUUGACCUUGCAAAUUGAAUUCAGGGAGGGCAGUGCUUCUAUCUGGCUGCUAGAUUUAUUGUUCCCAGUCUGGGGAGAGGCCUGGGGAGGCGUGGUAUGGGAUUUCUGUGCCUAGGCAGCCACUCCAGCUUGUCCUGUGCUGCCUCCCUCCUUUCCAUCUUGGUGUCUUCCUCAGCUCUCGAAACAGAAGGCAGCAGCCCAUGAUUGAUGGGCUCCGGCCCGCUGGGGUGUUAUUAACCACUCUGUCAAGGUGACAAUGUCAUUUUUAAUGUUCCAUCUUCAGACUUGAGGCUUAUUCUUAGGUUGAGAGUUAGCCAACCUUGACAGAGAUAGAACCCCUAAAAGUUUAAGACGUGGUUCUUGACCCUGGCUGCUGGGGAGCUUGCAACAAUACCGGUUUCCAUGAGGGUACCUUCUGGGAUGCAGGAAAUGUUAGAUGUCUUUAUCCACGUGGUGGUUACUUGAGUUCAUAUAUGUGUAGCAAAAACUUGGGCUUUGGUGAGGAUAUGGAGAAACUGAACCCUGGUGCCUUACUGGUGGGAAUGUAAAUUGGGGCAGCUGCUGUGGAAACACACUGGUGGCUCCUCAAAAAGUUAAACAUGUAAUUACCCUGUGAGCCAGGAAUUGCACUCCUAGGUAUAUACCCAAAAGAACUGAAAGCAAGGACAGAAGCAGAUGCUUGUAAGCUAAUGUUUGUAGCAGCGUUAUUCACAACCACCAAAAGGUGGAAACAACACAAGCAUUUGCUGAUGAAUGGUUACUGUUCUGUCCCUACAAUAGAAUGUUAUUCAGCCACGAAAAGGAAUGAAGUUCUGACACACACUGCAAUGUGUAUGAACCUUGAACCCAUUAUCGUGACAGACACUGGUCACAAAAUGACAAAUACUGUAUGAUUCCACUUACAUGAAAUACCCAGAAUAGUCACAUUCACAGGGACAGAAAGUAGACCAGAGCUUAUUCAGGGAAGGGGAGAGAGAAGGAAUGGGGAGUGAAUAUUUAAUGGGUACAUAGUUUUAGUUUGGAAUGAUGAAAAGUUUCUAGAAAUGGAUGGUGGUGACUUUUGCAUAACACUGUGAAUGUACUUAAUGCCACUGAACUGUACACUUAAAAAUGGGUGGAGUGGCAAGUUUUACGUUAUGUAUAUUUUACCAUAAUAAAGAUAUUUGAGAUGUACAGUUAAAA
RNA transcript from Homo sapiens (human), 2825 nucleotides. It is a transcript of the gene named acetoacetyl-CoA synthetase pseudogene 1, with no coding region annotated. NCBI's taxonomy places the organism in Eukaryota, Metazoa, Chordata, Mammalia, Primates, Hominidae. The transcript has 11 exons. The record is from RefSeq and is marked validated.